This 786-nucleotide long non-coding RNA is filed under the name Fukomys damarensis (Damara mole-rat). RNAcentral describes it as "lncRNA (ENSFDAG00000023412.1)". The record is from RNAcentral. Lineage: Eukaryota; Metazoa; Chordata; Mammalia; Rodentia; Bathyergidae.
GAACUCUACUCUCCCCUUCUCCACUGCUCUGCUUUGUGUAAAUCCUGCUUGCUAUAUUCUCCAGGAAACUCCAAUGGAAAUAAGCUUCACAGAUCUAAAAAGAGGGUUCCAUAACAAGUGGCAAACCCAAGAUAUAAAUCCCCAGUCUGAUUGUGAAGCCUACAACUGGUGACACUUGCCAGUUCAGUCAACCAGAAGACAGACACAUCUAAGGGCUCACUAGCCCAGCCUCGGGAAUAAGCAGAGACACGAGAACCAGAGCAUGUGGAAGAUAUCCCCAAAAUUCUUUGGCACUAACUUCUUGGAUUUACAUAGUAUUUGCUCUAGGACUAUGGUAGCAAACUUAUGGCACAUGAGCCACAACAUGCUGUUCGUAUCAUCGAAAGCUCUAAAAGGAAAAGGAAAGAAAGAGACAGUAGACACCUCGGAGUUCCUGAGCUUCUGCUUGUGAUUGAGUGAGAGCAGAACAAGGAAGGAGUCUUAAGAACUAAAGCUUCGUAUAAGGAAAACUAUUGCCGGAGACAACAGGCAGCCACAAGUUGUAUCAUCCUUAUUUUCGUGAUAAACAGGAGGUCUGAAUGUUUGCAAGCCAAUAAAAUAUUUUGAAACCUUGAAGAUUAGUGUGCUUUAAGGUUUUGGAUGAAUGCCAUUCAGAAAGUGUUUCCUUUUUGAAGUUGUCAUUAUAAUAAUGAAUGUUUUGUAUUUGGGGAAGUGGUGUAAUAUUUGGAAUGUUCAGCCCGAGGGAAAAAGAUUAGUAGCUAAUUCUAAUGACUUCUGGAGAACCUG